Molecule: non-coding RNA, 235 nt
Organism: Caenorhabditis elegans
Lineage: Eukaryota; Metazoa; Nematoda; Chromadorea; Rhabditida; Rhabditidae
Source: Ensembl
CUUUCCUUUUUGUCUUCAAAUUUCCUAUUCAGCCAGCAAACUCGGGGAAGUCAAGGAUGAACGUUUAAUAGAGAAAAACUAUGGGUGUUCUGAAACAAUCAGUAAAAAAAUUAUCAGGACAAAAUGGCAACAUUAUCGUUGAGAAUGCGUCCUCGUAUCGCCGUAGCUCAGAAGUAGAAAUCAAUUGAAGAUAACAUUAUCAAUUCUGUAUAAAAAGAAAAUACAGGUUUUGAUA